AAAAAAAUAAACCCUGAGUUUCCGUGUCCAAUUUUGACUGUCCGUUUUAUAUGAAAUUUUUUUAUAAUUCGUAUUUUCAUUGCUGUUAGAUGAUAAAACAUGAUUAAUAUUUUAUGCGUUACUUGUCUUUUUAUUUUUUUCAUUUUUUUUAAAUAAGAUGGACGGUUAAUAGUUAGGCACGGAAACCAGGGUUUGUCUUUUU
Molecule: non-coding RNA, 202 nt
Organism: Oryza barthii
Lineage: Eukaryota; Viridiplantae; Streptophyta; Magnoliopsida; Poales; Poaceae
Source: Rfam